RNAcentral lists this small RNA (652 nucleotides) under Microascus cinereus. RNAcentral's name for it is "eukaryotic LSU rRNA". The stretch from base 258 to 411 matches the Rfam family "5.8S ribosomal RNA". The record is from RNAcentral. Lineage: Eukaryota; Fungi; Ascomycota; Sordariomycetes; Microascales; Microascaceae.
AGGAUAAACAAAUUACUUCGUUUUUGGAAGUUAAAAAUCGUAACAAGGUCUCCGUWGGUGAGWMCAGCGGAGGGAUCAUUACCGAAGUUACUCUUCAUACCCUUUUGUGAACACUACCCCAUUGCCGCGCGUUGCCUCGGCGGGGAGGUCCGCGGGGUUGCGCUCCGGCGCUCCCCCCGGGCCCCCGCCGGCCGCGCCGAACUCUUCAUUUGCAAAGCGGACUGUAUGUUCUGAUUAUAUCUUGAAAAACAAGUCAAAACUUUCAACAACGGAUCUCUUGGUUCUGGCAUCGAUGAAGAACGCAGCGAAAUGCGAUAAGUAAUGUGAAUUGCAGAAUUCAGUGAAUCAUCGAAUCUUUGAACGCACAUUGCGCCCGGCAGCAAUCUGCCGGGCAUGCCUGUCCGAGCGUCAUUUCUGCCCUCGAGCGCGGUUCGGCCCCUAGCGGGCCGUCCGCCGCCCGGUGUUGGGGCGCUGCGGGCCCUCGUGCCCGCAGGCCCUGAAAUGAAGUGGCGGUCCCGCCGCGGCGCCCCCUGCGUAGUAGUAAAGCACCUCGCAUCGGGUCCCGGCGGAGGCCAGCCGUCGAACCUCUUUCUCUUGAUGGUUUGACCUCGGAUCAGGUAGGGUUACCCGCUGAACUUAAGCAUAUCAAUAA